AACGAACGCUGGCGGCAUGCCUAACACAUGCAAGUCGAACGAAGCCUUCGGGCUUAGUGGCGCACGGGUGCGUAACGCGUGGGAAUCUGCCCUUGGGUUCGGAAUAACAGUUAGAAAUGACUGCUAAUACCGAAUGAUGUCUUCGGACCAAAGAUUUAUCGCCCAAGGAUGAGCCCGCGUCGGAUUAGCUAGUUGGUGAGGUAAAGGCUCACCAAGGCGACGAUCCGUAGCUGGUCUGAGAGGAUGAUCAGCCACACUGGGACUGAGACACGGCCCAGACUCCUACGGGAGGCAGCAGUGGGGAAUAUUGCGCAAUGGGCGAAAGCCUGACGCAGCGACGCCGCGUGGGUGAUGAAGGCCU
RNAcentral lists this ribosomal RNA (361 nucleotides) under uncultured bacterium. Its description in RNAcentral is "bacterial SSU rRNA". It matches the Rfam family "Bacterial small subunit ribosomal RNA", at positions 29 to 417 of the family's 1533-position model. The record is from RNAcentral.